CUCCCACUUCAGCACUGCCAACCUGCCUACUGCUGCCAAUCUGUCUACUGCUGCCAACCUAUCUACCGCGGUGAAUCUAUCUAUCAUUACUAGUUCAAAAUAGGACUAGAGCAUAAAUACGCUAAACUUCUUUUGAUAGGUAACAAUUUUUAGUAAUGCUCAUAGCGCAGAAGUGAGAUAUAUGAUUAAUAGACUGUAUUCAUUUUCACUUUUCUGGCUUCCAAGAAAUCAUUUCUGAAUCAUUGAUCAAAUUGCACAAAUUGAAGUGAAAAUAAAUAAAUAAAUAAAAAUAAAAAAAAAUUCAUGACAAAUCCCUCAAUAUUUUGGUAAACUACUAGGAUCUCAAUCCUUCGUAAUGAGAAUACCGCGGCAUACCUGCGUAACUCCACGCCGUUAGGACCCAGAAGUAUUGGCAAACGCCAGUCUGACCCGGAUAUCUUAGCAACAAUGUGACAGUAAUUCAGGGAAUAUUUCCCGCCGACUGGAACUAGCUUACCCUUGAACCAAUCUAGAAGCGGCAGGAUCGACAGCUCGUUGCCCACGGCGUUCAGAGGAGUGUCAACCUUUACGCCAUGUUACGAAACUCGGAUUUGAACUGAAAUGCUACCCAAAGGGAGCAGACAGGCAGCUGAUAUUUACAAAAAUAGCAGCAAGCUUCGGAACGGGAAAGCCAGCCUCCAGCAAUCAAUGUUUAAGCCCCUGUUGAAAGGAGUCUCUAACCCAGCCACUUGGAUGGAAGCGACUUGGGGGCGAAGGCAAGGGGAAUAUCUAAUUUCACACCAGGGC
RNAcentral lists this small RNA (786 nucleotides) under Histoplasma capsulatum var. duboisii H88. RNAcentral describes it as "Histoplasma capsulatum H88 hypothetical RNA". The record is from RNAcentral. Lineage: Eukaryota; Fungi; Ascomycota; Eurotiomycetes; Onygenales; Ajellomycetaceae.